RNAcentral lists this ribosomal RNA (223 nucleotides) under Escherichia coli. RNAcentral describes it as "partial 16S ribosomal RNA". It matches the Rfam family "Bacterial small subunit ribosomal RNA", at positions 1 to 220 of the family's 1533-position model. Lineage: Bacteria; Pseudomonadati; Pseudomonadota; Gammaproteobacteria; Enterobacterales; Enterobacteriaceae. RNAcentral also lists the same sequence under 1 other name. The record is from RNAcentral.
AAAUUGAAGAGUUUGAUCAUGGCUCAGAUUGAACGCUGGCGGCAGGCCUAACACAUGCAAGUCGAACGGUAACAGGAAGCAGCUUGCUGCUUCGCUGACGAGUGGCGGACGGGUGAGUAAUGUCUGGGAAACUGCCUGAUGGAGGGGGAUAACUACUGGAAACGGUAGCUAAUACCGCAUAACGUCGCAAGACCAAAGAGGGGGACCUUCGGGCCUCUUGCCA